Molecule: long non-coding RNA, 679 nt
Organism: Gallus gallus (chicken)
Lineage: Eukaryota; Metazoa; Chordata; Aves; Galliformes; Phasianidae
Source: Ensembl
CUGAAGUAGUUGAAAUUAACCAAUAGAUGCAGAAAUGUCUGGAGGAGGACAACUGACAGGCAGUUGGGCAGUGAUUGUGACGGAACAAUAAUGCAGUCAUUACUGAAAUAAGCCAUUUUUCACAUCUCAUGAAUUGUUGCUGGAGACAAAGUGGUUGAUGGUCUGGCUGCAGGCAAUAUGGCUUCAGCAGCAGCUGCUUAGGAAAGGACAUCCAUCAACACACCUCUGGAGAAGGGCUGCUCACGUGGUGUGUUGUGGAACUGCUUGUGGCUGGACGCACCGCAGUCAGGGCCAAUCCCAACUGGUGCUGAUGUAAACAAGCUACAAGUCAAAGAUGCAAUCCCUGCAAAGAAUUGGUGAAACAGCUGCAAUUAAAAAGACAGUUUCUAAGCUAUUAGGAUGAAAAAUCAAUCUUCUCUGACUGUCAUCUGUAAUUCCCAGCUUGCAGGUUUGAGAAGGAAGAAAAAUCAAUCUGGUGACAACAAAGAGGGAAAACAGAGUGCACAUUCUCUGGCAAAUCACACCUUCCUGAUUGCAACACCAUGUGGCUUUUAAUUUCACCAAAAGAGAGCCAGUAAUUAUUUAUAGCUUAUAACAACUGGGGAAAGGUUUCCUGAGGUACAAACUAAUUAUGUUUUUUAAAUAAACUGAUUGUCCAUGUAAUAAAUGAUCACAUUUU